GAUGAACGCUGGCGGCGUACCUAAUACAUGCAAGUCGAGCGAACAGACGAGGAGCUUGCUCCUCUGACGUUAGCGGCGGACGGGUGAGUAACACGUGGAUAACCUACCUAUAAGACUGGGAUAACUCCGGGAAACCGGAGCUAAUACCGGAUAAUAUAUUGAACCGCAUGGUUCAAUAGUGAAAGACGGUUUUGCUGUCACUUAUAGAUGGAUCCGCGCCGCAUUAGCUAGUUGGUAAGGUAACGGCUUACCAAGGCAACGAUGCGUAGCCGACCUGAGAGGGUGAUCGGCCACACUGGAACUGAGACACGGUCCAGACUCCUACGGGAGGCAGCAGUAGGGAAUCUUCCGCAAUGGGCGAAAGCCUGACGGAGCAACGCCGCGUGAGUGAUGAAGGUCUUCGGAUCGUAAAACUCUGUUAUUAGGGAAGAACAAAUGUGUAAGUAACUAUGCACGUCUUGACGGUACCUAAUCAGAAAGCCACGGCUAACUACGUG
Molecule: ribosomal RNA, 497 nt
Filed under: uncultured bacterium
Lineage: Bacteria
Description: partial 16S ribosomal RNA
Rfam family: Bacterial small subunit ribosomal RNA
Source: RNAcentral